This 229-nucleotide ribosomal RNA is filed under the name Staphylococcus aureus. RNAcentral's name for it is "partial 16S ribosomal RNA". It matches the Rfam family "Bacterial small subunit ribosomal RNA", at positions 673 to 900 of the family's 1533-position model. The record is from RNAcentral. Lineage: Bacteria; Bacillati; Bacillota; Bacilli; Caryophanales; Staphylococcaceae.
GUGUAGCGGUGAAAUGAGCAUAGAUAUGGAGGAACACCAGUGGCGAAGGCGACUUUCUGGUCUGUACAUGACGCUGAUGUGCGAAAGCGUGGGGAUCAAACAGGAUUAGAUACCCUGGUAGUCCAAGCCGUAAACGAUGAGUGCUAAGUGUUAGGGGGUUUCCGCACAUUAGUGCUGCAGCUAACGCAUUAAGCACUCCGACUGGGGAGUACGACCGCAAGGUUGAAAC